RNAcentral lists this transfer RNA (87 nucleotides) under Gemmobacter aquaticus. RNAcentral describes it as "Catellibacterium aquatile tRNA". It matches the Rfam family "tRNA". Rfam says of the family: Transfer RNA (tRNA) molecules are approximately 80 nucleotides in length. Their secondary structure includes four short double-helical elements and three loops (D, anti-codon, and T loops). RNAcentral also lists the same sequence under 6 other names. Lineage: Bacteria; Pseudomonadati; Pseudomonadota; Alphaproteobacteria; Rhodobacterales; Paracoccaceae. The record is from Rfam by way of RNAcentral.
GGAGACGUGGCCGAGUGGUCGAAGGCACACCCCUGCUAAGGGUGCAGGCCCGGAAGGGUCUCGAGGGUUCGAAUCCCUUCGUCUCCG